GUGGCCAUAGCUCAGUCGGUUAGAGCGCAUGGUUGUGGUCCAUGAGGUCGCCGGUUCGAAUCCGGCUGGCCACCCCA
Molecule: transfer RNA, 77 nt
Filed under: Rhodovibrio salinarum
Lineage: Bacteria; Pseudomonadati; Pseudomonadota; Alphaproteobacteria; Rhodospirillales; Rhodovibrionaceae
Description: tRNA-His
Rfam family: tRNA
About the family: Transfer RNA (tRNA) molecules are approximately 80 nucleotides in length. Their secondary structure includes four short double-helical elements and three loops (D, anti-codon, and T loops).
Source: RNAcentral